UCCCUGCGGCUCAACUCCCACGACCCAAAUUCCGUCGUUAAAACCCCAAUAUUCCUUUAACCUAGAGGAGGAGAACAUCAGAUAUCCGAUCCCUUCCCCAUUUUAAAACCUAACUAUUUGAAGAGAUAGACCCCUUCCUCUUCCGACACAAGCAGCGGCAUAAGAGAGAAGGGCAGCGCCAUCCCCCCCCCCCAUCUUCUUCUUCUUCAGCCAUGGUUCUCUCUUAAAACAUCAAGAAUACCACUGUCUCCCCUCUCAUUUUCCACCAUUAACGCCAAACAGUCAUGGAAACCAACGUACCAGUAGCUUCGUUCUCGGCCAGUUUCAAUUUUGAAAUUCCAUUAAAAUAGCUUCGAAAUAGGCAUUGGAACCACUAAAAACUUAAGAUGAAAUCACCCAAGAAAAUGCUCUAAAACGCAGCAUUUCAAAACGCCCUCAAACCACCCCUAAAACACAUGAAAUCAGUCCAAAAAUUGCCAAAAAAUCAGCUGCAAAAAUAGCAGAAACGCGGCUGCAAGUCAGCACAAAAACAUGCUGAAACUAGUUUCUUUUAGCUGUGGUGUUUUUCUGGAAAAGAAUUGGUUUCUUUAGCUGCGGUUUUCUGGUUAAAAUUGGUUGAUUUUGGCUUAUUUUCUAGUUGGUAUUCUGAGUUGUUGUUGUCUGGUUGCUGUUGGUUAAGCUCCAAAUCCCAUCUAUUUAUUGACCUUUAUUUGGUCCAUUUUGUUGCUGUUUUCUCGAUGAAUUUUUGGGAUCGAAGAAGUGUACAUUUGCAGAUUUUUCCAUUGUCAAUGGGAAAAAUUUCAGUUUAGCAGGUUUAUUUCUUCUAUCUUACUCUCAUGUCAAAUGAAUAAAACUUUGAUUGGUUUUGUGAAUCAAGUUCCUCUAUGUUGGUCUAUGUCUAAAAUGAACUUGAACUUAAUUUGUUGUAUGAUUUUGUUCCUUUUGUGCUUGGUGUUCGUUGUUGGCAGUGAUCUAUGAUAACAAAG
Molecule: long non-coding RNA, 986 nt
Filed under: Nicotiana benthamiana
Lineage: Eukaryota; Viridiplantae; Streptophyta; Magnoliopsida; Solanales; Solanaceae
Description: long non-coding RNA (NBEN_LNC033277)
Source: RNAcentral